Molecule: long non-coding RNA, 25608 nt
Filed under: Medicago truncatula (barrel medic)
Lineage: Eukaryota; Viridiplantae; Streptophyta; Magnoliopsida; Fabales; Fabaceae
Description: long non-coding RNA (MTRU_LNC006724)
Source: RNAcentral
CUUCUCCCUCCGUUUUGCUUAGUACUUGAUGAUGAGGAUGAGGAUGAUUGUGAUGAAGUUAGAGUGUUGCUAAUGGACAAAGAAUUGCUAAGCAAUUUAGUGAAGUUGCUUAACAUGGAUGGGAAGUAAUUUAAGUGAGAUGGAAGGUUGAAAUCAAUGAAACCAUUUUGGCAAGUUUGAUGAUUGGUAAUGGAAGCACUUUGCCAAGUUAAUUUGUCAUUUAGGUUGUUUGAGUUUAUUGAGCGUUUGAGUUGAUAUAUUGUAUCCUCAUAAAGCUCUAAACAAUCCUCCCAUGCUGAUUUGGCAUGCUUGUCUUUGAAAUUAUUUAAUUCCAUGGUUGAUACAAGUUUGUGAGCUUCAAUGGCUUGGUCCAAGGUAACCUUAAGUGCAAUAUCAUGGAAGGAAGAAGAAGAAUCUAGGGUUGAUAGUUUAUUUGUGGUGGUUCCAAUAUAAUGGUUGCACACAUGAGGGUAUGGAGUUUGAUUGCAUGACAAUUCUUUGCCAUGCACAAACAAGAGAGAGAAAAGAAGAAAGUAUGCAAUGCAAGAGUUGAAUAUGAGUUUAUACAUGUAUGCAAUAGUGUGCAUGGUGUAUCAAAAUAAUGAUUCUUUUAAAUAAUGAAAUGAUAUUUUUUCUUAUUAAAUAAUUUUUUUAAAAUAUAAAUAUUGGCAAAUAACUCUUUAUUUUAUACCUUCUCAAAAAAAAAAAAAAAGCUCUUUAUUUUAUACAAAAGUUCGUUAAUUUAUUGAUUCGGAAAAAAGGUAUCGAAGCACUUCAAUUUAUGAGUGUACUGUAGAAGAUCUUGAUAAUUUUAUUUUUUUGGUUAAGUAGUCUAAUAGUUAGAAUUCACCUUUAUAAGAUGUAUAAGUGAAGUGUUCAUAGUUCGAACCUCGACCCCUGUAUAUAACAAUGCAUUGUCUUUGCCAACUGAACUAUGCUUAUGGGGACAAUAAUGUUUUUUGUUUUUUUGGUUAGGUAGUUUAGUGGCUAGAAUUCACCUUAUAAGGUGAAUAAGUAGGGUGUCCGAGGUUCGAACCGCGGCCCCUACAUAUAAUAAUGUAUUGUCCUACUAACUGAGCUACGCUCACGGAAGAUUUUUUUUUUUUUAUAUGUCUGCAAUAUUGUUUGCCUAAUUGUUACCGUUUACAUAUAUUUGUUGAUCAAAUUAAAAGGAAUUAUGUUUGUAUUAUUUAUUUUUUGAAGGAAUUUGUAUUGUUUUUUGUUUAACAGCAAAAUAUUAGUUUUGUAGAUUUGUUUUUAAGAACAGUAGUUUUCUAUAGCAAAUUUAGUUGAAGCGGUUCAUGCUAAGCCAUCAAUUUUUGCAACUUAGUGCGUCUUAUGAUUUUUCUACCACAUAAAAUGUUAAUUUUUUUUUUUUGGAAACACAAAAAGGUAGGAAGCGAUCGUACGUAUAAUUUCCUCCACUAAUUUUUCUAUCACAAAAUGGACAAUUAUUUCUUCUUCCAAACUACCAAUUUUUUUAUUUUUUUUUAAACAUUCUUCCAAACUAGUAAUGAUGUAUGCCAAUAUUGUUAAUUAGGAACUUUUCAAUCGAGUUUUGUAACUUCUCAAUUUACUCAUCUCUAUUUCCCUAAACCUUUGGUUAUGUUCCUUGUAAAUUUAGGUACAUGUCGUAUCAAAUAUACUAUUGGCUAUAUUUUUCAUUUUUUUUUAUCACUAAAUGCUCCUUCUAUCUUUAAUUCUAAAACUUUUUCGAAAAUUUAUUUGUCCCUAUAAGACCUUCUGUAAAAUUCUACAUGUAUUUAUUACACUUUUUUAAAUAUAACCCUUGUAUACGUGCAUACCAUCAAUUCAUCUUGAAAUAUAUAAAAUUAACAUUAAUACAUGGACAAAUUUAUUACACAAACACUUCUUUUUAAUGUCAGUGAUUAUUGUUAAAAGUUCUUAUAAGAAGAGGCUCAUGGAGUAAGAGUUAAGCUGUUCUUUUAAAUUUCCAUUUUUUUAUACUUACUAGACUCUUGACACGUGCGGUUGCACGUGUCAUACCACGUAGAAGUUAAUCGAAUUGGUCGCAAAAAUGUAAACAUAUAUAAUUAAUAGAAGUUUUAUAACAAUUUAAAAUAUGUUCCCUUCUAAGACACCAUAGAUGAGGGACAUACAAUAAUUAGGUAAUUAAGUUGGUCAAAUCACUCUUAAUUGGUAGUAGCAAGGUGACGCCAUAGAUGAGAAAAUGAGAAAGAUUAGUAAUUUAUUUGGUUGUAGAUAGGCAAGUAACACUUAUGAGAGGAUCAUAGGGAUUUUGGAGGUUGAAGACAGAACCAUUCCAUUGACUUCUCACUUUGAUUGCACACAUUAUGACCUUUAAGGUAUAAAUUUGAAGUGAUAGAUUUUUGACGAAAAGGAAUUCAUAUAUAAAAAUUAAAGACUUUGUCACUUAAUGAUUUUCGAUUAACAAUGAUAAUUAUUAAUUUGUUGCAGAUUUUUGGAUUAUUAACAAUGACAUAUCAUUUAGUUGAAUUUUCGCAUAUCAUUAAACUCCAUAAAUAUUAAGUUGAAUUUUCGCAUAUCAUUAAGUUCCAUUAAGUCUUAACCUGAAGUUUCGAUUAGCAAUUAUAAGUAUUAAUGUUUGGAUUAUUCACAAUGACAUAUCAUUAAGUUUCUAUAAAUAUUUGAUAUAUUGACUUGUUAUAUGAAUGAUGUGAUUGAAGAAGGUUUUGUACUUACAACAAAUAUUUUAAAAAUGUUAUACUUGAUGAACAACUAAUGUAUGGAAAUAAAUCCAUUAUUUUAUGUUGACAGUAAAAUUUUGACAUGCUAAUAAUAUGACAUUAUAUUUAUUUGAAAAACUUUAGACUUUAGUAACUUCUAAAAAGUCACAGUACCUACAAAUUUUUACUCGUCGAGUCGAAACAACCACUUAAUUAUGUCUCGAAUAAUAUAUAUUAUCAGAGUUUUAGCCUAAUUGUAAAAUUCAAAUUGGAUUCUUGCCAUUGUUGACUUCUGAACAGAUCACACAUAUUACUGCAUAAAAUUAUCAAAUAGAACUUAAAACAGAAAACUUGAUUCUAGAAAUGGAGAAUAAUACUUAUACUCCAUAGAUGUUGUUUGGAUUACAAAACCAUCAACAAAAAAGAUGAAUUUUCAAACUAAAUAGAAAAACACAUAAAAGAAAGCAAUUAAAAAAGGUUCGUUGAUGAAUAUCACAUCUGCAGCAUAAAUGCCAAUAACCCCUUGAUAGCGUUUACGAAGAAUUCAUUGACUGCAAACUCAUUAUUUUUUUGUAGGUUCAACUUUCACAGGAACCAUUUUAGUUGGUUUGGUAAUAGAUUCCUCCCCGAUUUCUAUGACACCACGUCCAGCUGAAGUAUUACCAUCAGAAGAUCUUUUUGUUUCAGAUUUGGUUGACGGAGUUCCAAGUUUAUUAGAGUUGUUGCAAGAAACAUCUAAUGCAACCAAAUCCUAAAAAAAGAAUAAAGACAUGUUAUAAUUCUGCUUGCAAUAUGUUUAAAGGGCAUAAGAUCAAUUACUUUGCUUAUAAAUUUCUCACCAAAUUAUUGGCAUCACUUCCAAGCGCGGUCAUCUCCAAUUCCUUCUCAACAUCAUCACCAUCAAUAGAACCCUAUUAGAAAGAUAUUUUCUUCCGUGUCAAAAAUUUUAUACAUAGCGAGACACGUAAAACUCCAUACUGAUAUGAUUGUAUAAAAACAAUAUGCACAAAAAACACCUUGAGAUUAUAUUUGUUGAUGAAUUCAUCUAUGACUUCAACCUCAUCAGUACCCCUUUUCACACCAUAGUUCCUCCACUUCUGAAAUCAAGUCUUGGACAUUCCUUCCAAUAAAAUAGGUGACAAUACGAUCGAAGAGAACAAUUGUUGUCGAGCCAGUCUCAUCCAUCACAAUGAGAUGCAACUUGAACCUAUCAUGGAUUGAAUAAUGAUAUUAGUUAUAAGUGAGUUUGAUUAUUAGCGUUGCUAUGUUUCACGCAAAAAAGCAAGAUAUUUACCUUGGAAUGGCGCUUUUGCAUUCCUUGCAAGAUAGUUUUCCAUCAACCACGGUAACCAACGAUGCACAUUGUGUACAUGAAUGGAAAAACCAUUCCACACCAGUCUCAAUCUCGCAUACAGUCGCAAGUACUGUCCCAUGACAUGCCUAAUAUAAUGAGAUAUUACAAACUAUUAGAUUUCAAAACUUUAUUCUAUUUGUUGACACUAUUUUUCUAAAAUUAUAUUAUACAAUAUACUGCAAGUUAAUUGACAAUACAAAUCUCGCCUCAAUAAGAUCCUCAAUACUCACUCCGGAGGUAUCAAGCAACUCCUCAGCAACGAGACGUGCACUAUAUGAAGACAUGAGAGGAUAAUGAAAAAGUAAUCGUUAAUAUACAUGUAAGGUUAUGAGAUCUACGGCUGAGAUGUAGGGGGUGGUUGACUGGGUUGAUUAACAUUAAUACACGAAAUGUUAUGAGAUAUACAGCUGAGAUGAAGGGAGUGGUUGACUGAGUUGAUUAACAUUAAUACGUGUUUUCAAUUGCCAUUAUGAGGAUGAUUAACACUGUUUUCAAUUGCCAUUAUGACAUUUCUGUAUGAGAGAAAAAGUGAUGAGUUUGAAAAUAGAGUUUGAAUCAACGACUGUGAUUAAGUGUGUGGUUGGGAGAAUAAAUUAGUAAUAAUUGCAUGCUUAGGAGGGAAAAAUGCAAGGGAUUAAGGCAAACAUGCUAGCUCAUCAAGUCUAGCUUUUAUAAUAAAGGAAGGAUGAUAUCUACGGCUGAGACGUAGGGGAGUUGUUGACCGACUUGAUUAGCAUUAACUACGUCUUCAAUUGCAUUAAAAGUGUGUUAUUCAUUUUCAAUUAGCAUUAACUAAGUUAUAUGAGAGUAAAUGGGGAGUUUGAAAAUAGAGUUUGAAUCAACGAGUGUGAUCAAGUGUGAAAAUUGAGUUUAAAUCAACAAGUGAGAUUAGAUUAGCAAUAAAUACCUGUUUAUGAGAGAAAAAUGAUAGGGAUUAGGGUGAAUUAGGGCAAACAUGUUUACUAACCAAGUCUAGCUUUUAUAAUAAAGGAUAGUAUUUGAAAUAUUUCUCUCUGGAAUAAAUAGUCAAGAAUAUUUUAGAGAAAAAUAUACUCCUGUUUACACAUUCAAAAUUAAAAUGAAAAAUAACAAAAAAAAAAAAAAAAAAAACUUCUAAAAAAGACACACAAUGAAAAAGGAAUGAAUAGAAUAAUCAUUGAAUAGAGGCCAGUAGGCCACCAAACAAUAAAAAAGAAAACAAAGAAACAACAAGUGAUCAUGCACUAAAUUAUUAGUCCUCUUAACCGCACAUUACUCGUGAAGCUACAUGGCAAUGGUCUCAUGGACACACUACAGACGCACACAUACACCCUUGAUAAGGCAAUUUCAGAUAUGGUUGUUGGUGUACUUUGUUCAUGUUCAUGUGUAAAUGUGUAUAAUAAUGUGUAUACAUCUGUUAUAAGAUCUAUGAAACCACGUGUCCCUCAAGGGUUUGUUCUUAUCAAUUUUAUUUUUUUUAAAAGUAUAAAAUAAUUAAAUUUGUAUCCACGAUUUUCCAUACAUAUUACUAUCUUUUAAAAUUAGUGGGUCAAAUAAUUCAAUUGUUUUGAAUUAUAAAUAAAUAAAUUGAAGGUCUUAGGCUUAAACUUCAAUGAAAGAGUAAAUAUUAAUCUAAUAAAUUAACUAUUAAUAUUUAUCUAUAGUCUAAAAUUUAUUAUCUAAAUAUCUAUAUGCAUGUUUGAUUUGUUUAGCUUCUGAGCGCAAUGAUGGACUAUAAAUAGAUUUUUAGAUGGACUACAAAUAGCAACGAAAAAAGCGAUCAAUUUUUUAAUAUUUCAUAUUUUACUCUAAAUUAACUCAAUUUUUUUUAAAAAAAAAUUCGUUUUCGAAUCUCUUCUCCCUCCUUCCUCUUAUUUCCUCACUCAAAAAUCACAAAUAAACAUACUGUGAGCCUAGAUCUACCAUAGAUAAAAACGAUACUACCUUUUCACUUUUUUGGGAUUGGAUUUGAUUGGGCUGAGACCGAUUUGGUGUGUUACGACCUUGUGCAUGGCAGUGACGGUUUAGGUUUGUUUGGUUGUUGGUGUGUGAUUGGUAUGGUUCAGAUUGGAUUUUGUUGUGGCAGGUUCUCUAAUUUGUGCUGGAUUUUUUCGUGUUGUAAAUUGGUUGUGGUUUUGAAGGUUUAUGGUGUUGUUUUCCGAUCUGAAAUUGGCUUGGCGUGAUGAGAUUUUCGUGUUACUGGUUUCUUCUUGGUUUGUGCGUGUGUGAACUGUUUGUUCUUUGUGAAUUUGAUUGGUGUUAUUUUGGAAUGGUUUGGAUUGAUUGUUUGGUUCGACUAAGACUGUGAUUUGGGAAUUGUAUGUUUGUUUGUACCACUGCCUUUGGUUGAUCUGUUUUGCUGGUUGAUGAAUUUGUGCCUGUGUUUAUGUUUGUGGUAUUCGACUGAUGAAAAUGUUUGGUUGAGACUGUGCGUGUAUCGCAGGUUUGUGUGUUACAGUGGGUAUGAAACUGUGGUGGUGAUGAAGUGCGGUGUUUGCGGUGGUUUUGUGAUGGUAACAUGGUUGUGGAAGGCGGAUGUUUGGUGAUGGCGAUAUGGUGGCUUAAAGUGGUAUUUUUGUGGUGGUUUUAAGGUGGUUAUUUGCUAGGUAGUGAUGGUUCACGGGUGGGUCGGUGGUGGUGGUUUGUCGUGGUUGUUUGGGUGUGGUUUGGAUGGUAUCGUGGUCGAAAUUUUGGACUCGUAUCUGAUGUCGGGGAGCUGAUCAAGAGGGGGUUUAUAUAGGUGUGUAUGUUGGUUUUCGUGGUAGACUUCAUGGUGGUGUGGUGUGAUGGUGGUGGCUGAUUUGAUCCAAUGGUCCCUCAAAUAGUUGUUGAUGAUUCACUAUAUGAUACAAUAAACCUCGUGAUCAAACGGUUCGUGUUUUAAUAAAUAGAUCAAAUGGUUUAAAUUAAAAAAAUUAAUAAGAUUUAUGGUGGAUCAUUUUUAAUGUUGUUCCACCAUAGACAUCAUUUGGGGUUAAACUUAACUGUAGGGAUUUAUUUGGCAAACGGAGGAAAAAUUGAGGCACCAAAAGAUACGUUUUAUUAAUUGUGGGACCAAAAUAAAAAUUUGAAAUUAUUUGAGGGACCAUUGGAUCAAAUAAGCCUUUUUUUUUUAGAUUCCACCCUUGAAAAAUGAAAAUUCUUGAGGAUUGGCCCCUCACCCCAAUGUGUCAGCAGAAUCUCCUACGUGAUGUGUCAAUUUCUUUUUUUUUUUAAUUUUUUUUCAUGCCACGCGUGUAAAUGUAUGCCACAUCAUUUAUAAUUUAAAAAAACGUGAAAUUUAAAAACGAAAAAAAAAUCUUAAAAAAUUAAAACAAAAACCUAGAAAUUUUAUGAAAAAAUUUAAAAAAUCUGGUAAAAAGAAAAAUAAUGAAAAAAUUCAGAAAAAAUUAAUAAAAAAAAAAAAAAUUGGAAAAGAUUAAUAUAUAUCAAAAUUUUCUAAAAAUUAAUAUAUUUAGAAAAAAAAUCAAAUUCCAAGAUUUUUUUCAAUUCCGGUAAAAUUAAAAAAUUCUAGAAAAAAUUCAUAUUUUUAUUUUCAAAAGUAAGAAGUUUUAUUUAAAUCUUUUCCAUAAUUUUUUUCGAAAAUUUGUGUUUUUAAAUAUGAUAUUCUGGAAAAAAAAAUCGAAAAUUUCAAUAUAUAUUAAUCUUUUCCACAAAUUUUUUUCAUUAUUUUUUAUUUUAGUUGAUUUUUUUAAUCAUUAAUAAUUUUUUUUUCAGUAUUUUUAAUAUUUUUUUAAGUUUUUUUCAUUUUUUAUUUAAAAAAUUCACAAAUGCCACGUGUACCUAGAAUUAUAUAUAUAUUUUUAAUUAUAAAUGAUGUGGCGUCCAUUUACACGCGUGGCAUGAUAAAAAAAAUUGACAUGUCACUACCACGUAGGAGAUUCUGCUGACACAUUGAGGUGAGGUGUCAAUCCUAAAGAAUUUUCAUUUUCCAAGGAUGGAAUCUAAAAAAGAAAAUUACAGGGACUAAAACCAAAAGUGCACUAUAUUACAGGGAUCAAAAACGUUAUUAACCCUACAAGUUAUUAUUAUAUUACUCUUAUAAUACUCUUUUAAUUAUAAUUAAAAUGCUCAUAGUCUUAGUCAUAGGACAAACCUCCAACUACCAUGGAAAAAGGGAGAAUGAAAAAUUGCGAAUGGCAGACUUCCCCGCCAAUGAGCUUAGGAGUAACCUUAACCACAUAUUUUAUUUUAUAUACUUGUUGACUUGAUCCAAAAUAGAUGGAAUAGCAAAUUAGUUUUUUUGUUUUUGUUUUUGGAAGUCAUACAUAGAUCAUCUUAGAUGGCAUGUACCACUUAUACCCUACAAAUUGUGAUAUGUUUUUCACACAUUCAUAUAAGGGUGGUACAUUGGAUGACAUUAAUGCAUUUUAGAUGAAAGAGAGUGAUGAAUAAAUAAUUAAAAUAAAUUAUUUAGAUAAUGAUUGAUUAAGAGAGAUAUAAACAAUUUAUAUAAGAAAAAAAGACUUAUGAACAAUGUCAUCAUCGCCACCAAAAACUAUAUCAUCCAAAUGUUAUUUAAAAGAUACACUCCAAGAUCUCAAAUUAACACCAAAAUCAAGACAAGUGGGUUUAAAAGUAAAGUGCUCCUUACAUAAAAUUUUAAGCAUGCACUUUUCAUAAAGUGGAAAACAAAACAAUUUUGUUAUGCAUUCUCAACCAUUCAAUUUUAAAUGUUACAUCAUUUUAGUUAAUUCAUGCUUACGUAAGCUAGCGAGCUCUUAGACAAUUUUGUUAUGCAUUCUCAACCAUUCAAUUUUAAAUGUUACAUCAUUUUAGUUAAUUCAUGCUUACGUAAGCUAGCGAGCUCUUAGACAAAAGCAAUAAUAUUCUUAUUUUUAGUUUUGUAGUUGUAUUUUUGGUACAAUUAAUAUUUUCUUAGUUCUAAUAAGCAAUAAUGUUUUGGGAGACCCUAAUAUGGAUAUCAAUUUAAAGGGACCAUUGGUGAACCUCACAAAGUGACUUAUUAUAGCCGGUCAUUUUUUUUUUUUUACUGUAAUCAAAUUAACUCUCUUACUCUUCUCUAUCCCCUCUUAUAUGCUUCAAUUGUUUCUUCACCAACGUCAUUUUUGGCUCCACCACUCCAUUCCCUUCCCCAAUCCUCUCUCUUCUUUCAUAUUUCAUUUUCAUCUUUACAAACCACAAAGUUUAGUAUUAUUAUUUGAUGUUGUUUGCCUUUUUAAAGCCUCCAAACAAAAAUUGAAUCAGAGGGGAUCUCUGAGGUGAUUGUAGUUUUUGUAGUUGUGGUUGAAAUUUGAAGCUUUUGGGUGAAGGGAGUUAAAGGGACAAAUGUGACAUUGUGGUUGUUUGUUGUUGUUGACGACAAAAUAGCCCAACAAAUUACUAGUACUCUCCUAGAGACAAAUCUAAUUAGAAACACUCACACAAAUGAAGAGGAUUGACCCAUUCACUAAGAGUGACGUGUAUAAAGGAAUGGGCAAAAUAGGACGGUGUUCAUAAUCACAAAGGGUAAUCCGAGUAAUUAGGAAACGAAUCGACAAUGGACAGAUUGAAGGUGGAUAGUUGAGCUUUGAGGUUUGUUCACCAGCAUAGACUUUGACAUGAACCAGAGAGAAGAGAUGUAAAGAGAGAAGAUGAAAUUAAAUCCAGUAAUUAAACCUCAAAACAAAAUAUAAAAGAUAGUGACCGACUAUAGUAAGUAAGUAACAAAGGUUCACCAAUGAUCCCUUUAAAUUGAGGUCCAUAUUAAGGGCUCCUUAAUGUUUUACCUUAAAUUAUUUUGAAAGGAAAGGGGCAGCAUAAGCGGUUCAAAUGAAAAAAAGCAAAGUAUGAUUAAGACUUGCUAACAAAAUUUCUGCAUUCACUUCAUAUAUGCUAAAUCAUCAUUUGUUAUCAUAAUCCAAGCUUCCAUACAUAACCACAAAUCCAUAACCCUUUGUCGAUAUAUGUCUCCUCUCGUUUUCUAUAGUUUUGGUGCUACUCGUCUAGUAUGUUUUGAAACAUAAUAUUCAGUCAUGAAUAAAGCACUUUAUAGACCCAAGGUAAUUGUUUUACGAAGAAAAAUAUUUAGGUGGUGUACUGGAUUAGGAUCGUAAGGGAUUUUAAAACAAUUUAUUUGAUUUUUUUUUUUGUAUUAUUUAAUUAAAACUUUUAUAGAUAUACAUAAUAUUAGUAGCAUUCAAUUAAAAUUAACAAGAUUUUUUUUAAAAGGACCAUAAAAGCCGGAAGUAUUUCAAUUGAGAUUUUUUACAAUUUAAAACAAGAUUUUUGCUAUUUAAAAGUUUACAAAUGUUGAUGGAUGAAUUGUUUAAUGAGUGAAUAAACAAAUCACACUCCUUGAAAUUGUAACUUCACUCAAAUAUGCCCACCUAAAAUAAAUGAAAUGACAAAAGAAAAUAUUGAAAUUGAUAAGCAUCUUUCAUUUAAGUUCCUCUAUUAGUUUUCAUUGUUUAAGGGUAUGACGUAACCAUUAACUGUUCACUUGAAGGUUAUGUAUUUUGAAGGUUAUGUCACGCAAUAAGGGGCAUUUGUAUAUUGUUUGGAGAAAAAAAAAAGCUUGAUUACAUUUUUCCAACGUUAACAUAACUUUACCAACCUUGAAAUAAGAAACUUUCACACGUCAAAUUUAACACUUAUGUGCAAAUUGCAAUCUAAAAUUUACAGAGGUAGAAGGGGGGACCAACACAGACCACAGUCCUCCCAAUUAUUAUUUUUAUGUUAGUAUGCUAUUUUUUCUAGUCUUUAUAUUUACUUUUUGUGAAAUUUAUAAAGAUAUUAUACUUGGUCUUUUUUACUCAACAUAUUGAGUCUUAAACACUUAAUGUUUUUGCUUUUUUUUUUUUGUGUGUAAAUAAAAUGAUAAACAAGGACAGGAACUUCGAAACUAAAUAAAACAUCUUCAGAUGAACAUACGGACUAAAACUUGACAUGACAACCACUUGAUUAAAUUACCAAAAAAAUAUGUGGACAACAAAAACCUUACGAUAUAUGACAUAACACCUUAACUUGAGACAAAAAAAGGAUGAAAACCAUGUAAAACACUAGCACCAUUUUCAAUCAUUUUAAUGGCGAAGAAAAUCUAUUUGUGUAAUAACUUAAUGAAAUCCAUAUAUGGAGAAGAAAAUACCAUGUUAAUUAAAUGCCCUAUAAAAGCCUUUAAACAAAGAAAAAUAUACAACAAGCAUGCAAGUUAAUUUAUAAUUAGAAUAUGUUGGUUCUUUUUAUAUUAAUAUUUGAGAUUAUUAACUUUAAACGUAAACAUAUAUUAUAAAUUAGAGUCAUGUUUAUUAUUUAUUACAAAACAAUAAUACUUUAUGUUCAUUAAUAUAAUCCAUCCGUCCCAAAAUAUAAACAAAAAUGGACCAACAUAAGUUGAUAUAUAUCUGUAUAAAUUUUGAGUUAAAUACAUUAAUUUUUGUUGAUCAAUUUUUACUUAUAUUUUAGAAUGAAAGAAGUAUAUAGUUAACAUUUUCCUAUAAAUUAUAAUAAUUUAUAUCUGGUUUAGUAUUAAUUCCGAAAUUGACCAAGUCAACUAUUUUAUAAAAUAAAAUAUGCGGGCAAAGUUACGUUACUCCUAAGCUUAUUGGCGGGGAAGUCUGCCACUUUAAUCUGUUCACUUUUCAUCAUCCAUCCCUUUUCCCAUGGUAGUUGGAGUCGUCUUUGUUUGUCAUACGACUAAGACUGUAUGACAUUUUUAAUAUAAUUAUAAUGAUAUGAUAAUAAUAAUAAAAGUAGUGAUACAUACACCACCUUAGAUGGCAUGUAUCAUUUGUACAUCCACACGUAAUUGUGACAUGUGCCCACGUGAUUCCCACACACAAAAAACUCAUAUUUAAUAUCUCUCAUACACUCUCACAUAGGAUGGUACAAUGUAUAUAUGAAGAAAAAAAAGCGUACAUGAAACAUUAUCGUAAUAAUAAUAAUCAUCAACUACUUACAUCAACUACGUACAUGAAAUUUGUGGACAAUCGAUAGACACGUGUGAAAUAUUAUUAUAUACAUAUUCAUAUCAUAAUUUUAUAAAAAGUUUGUAUACAUAUUCAUAUAAUAAUUUUUAAAAACAAUUUGCUAAGAACAAACCCUUGAGGGGCACGUUUCAAUUUAUAAGUAUUAUACAAGAUGUAUACACAUGAAACAUGAACAAGUACACAACACAUGAUGUACAAACAACCAUAUCUUAAAUUGCCUAAUUGAGGGUGAGAGUGUGUAUGUGUUGCUCUAUAGUGUGUCCAAAACCAUGUAGAUAUUUGUUGGUAACCUAAUAUAAUCACUUUUUUAUGGUUUUGGUUUAGAUGAAAAAAGCAAAAUGAUAUCACAAUCAAACCCUAAAGCUUCACGAGUCAUAUCUGGGUUUUUGGAGAGCUAAAUGUAUGGCUGAGCUACAAAGUGAAGCUAUGGUGUAGCCGAUUAAUUAUUGCAUGAUCACUUUGGUCUUUCUUUUUUAGCUCUUAUACAUGAACCAUCUUAGGUGGCAUACACCCUUUUACACCCACACACAUUUGUAACACGUGGAAAAAACAUUGAAAGAAGAGAUGAAAAAGGGUGAUGAUAUAAUGUAAAAUUACUCAAAUACCCCUAAUACAUGGGGGUGUACAUAAGAAGUGUAUGAAAAAGGGUGUCUACCUAUAAAUAUAAGCAAAAUUGAUUUUUUAGGUUCAUUAAUUUAAUGAUGCAUGUGGUCCAUACAUACAUCGUUAAAUGAAUGAACCUAAAAAGCCAAUUUUGCUUAUAUUUAAAAACGGAGGUAGUACAUGUUCCCCCUUAUUUUUUAUUUAUUUGCAAAAAAAUGAUAAAAUAUAGACAAAUUACUAUAUUGGAAUUGACAUCUACCUAGAUUUCCCAAUGAACCUAACAUUACUUAAAAAGAACUAAUUACCAAGGUUUUGGGAAUAUAGGUGGGUAAAUUUGAGAAGUUCCUAACAAGAUUCCCAUCAAGGAUAUCGGACGAAAAUCGUUUAACCUCUAAGGAUUAUCCACCUUCGGAAUAAGAACGAUGAAAGUAGCAUUAAUACCUUUAGCCGACUUACCAUUUCUAUGAAACUCAGAAACGAACCUCAUCACAUCAACUUUCAGCUCAUUCCAGAAUUCUUUUAUAAAACCAAAACUGACUCCAUCCGGACCUGGACUUUUAAAGCUAUCACAGUCCCAAAUUGCUUUACUAGGUAAAUGGUGUUGGAGGAUGUUAGUUGAUAGAGAAGGGUUGUGGUAUCAGGUUUUAGUCGCCCGUUAUGGCGAAGUAGGUGGGAGGUUGGAGGUGGGGGGUCGGAGUGUUUCUUUGUGGUGGCGGGAGGUAGGUAGGAUUCGUGAUGGCGUUGGUGACACAGGUGGAGGGUGGUUCGGUGAUAGUGUUAGACGGAGGGUGGGAGAUGGUACGACGAUGUUGUUCUGGUCGCAUAGGUGGAUUGGAGGUACUCCGCUUUGUGUGCGGUUUCCCCGCUUGUUUGACUUAGCAGAGAAUAAAACCAUUACGGUGGCAUCUUUGUUCUCUUUGGGUACAGAGCAGGAUGGGGAGGGGUGGAGGUGGAGGCGUAGAUUGUGGGCUUGGGAUGAGCUUUUACUAGAGGAGUGUAGGGCGUUACUAUUUGAUAUCUCUUUGGUUCCUAAUGUUUCAGAUUUUUGGGAGUGGCUUCCAGAUACUGCAGAGGGGUACUCUGUGAGAGGUGCCUAUGAUUUGUUGACGAUUGGGGAUGAUUCUCAGAUGGGAUUACCCUUUGAGUUAGUGUGGCAUCCGCAGGUUCCUUUGAAGGUUUCAGUUUUUGCGUGGCGGCUUAUCCGAGAUUGUUUACCAACGAAAGCUAAUCUGGCAAUUCGUGGUGUUGUCCCCGCGGAUGAUAUCUUAUGUGUUUCUGGUUGUGGUCACGUGGAGACAGCCGGUCAUUUAUUUUUAUCUUGUACUACAUUUGCAUCUUUGUGGCAGCAGAUGCGUGAUUGGAUUGGUUUUUCAGGAGUGGACCCUAACAUCAUUUCAGACCAUCUGGUGCAGUUUACUCAUUUGACAGGUGUUGGUAAAGCAAAAAGAUCAUUCUUGCAGCUUAUUUGGCUGUUGUGUGCUUGGGUUUUGUGGAGUGAGCGUAACAACCGUCUUUUCAAUAAUUCUUUUAAUAGUGUCCCUCAAUUGUUAGAUAAGGUUAAAUUGUUAUCUUUGGGGUGGUUGAAAGCUAAAAAGGUUGUGUUUGUUUAUGGUACGCAGAGAUGGUGGUCCGACCCUUUUGCUUGUUUGGGGUUGACUACCUAGUGUAAACCUCUGUUUGUUGUUACUUAAACUCUUGUAUUUUUAGUGGUAUCCUAGGCACACCUUAUGUUUGGAUAUUGCUGUUUGGUGUGUUAUAUAAUUUUAUUUUGAUUUCUUAAAAAAAAAAUAGCUUAGUUUGAAACAAAUUAAAUCUUAUCCAUUUUGAGAGAAAAGAUUAGUGGAACAAAUUACACGCACGAUCAAAAUCAACAAGAGUGGGAGCCAACGUUUGUAUGAAAGCAUUAUGCCAUUAUCCAAUCAAUUGUUAUUAAUUUAGUUGAUUAAUGUCUUUAAAAGCCAUUAUUUUUUUGACAAAUGCAAAGGCCAUCAUUAAAAUUGUUUUAUUGCAUUUGCAUCCGUCACUUUCUUCUCACCUUUUGAAACCUUAUGUGGCACGAAAUUCUCAAAAAAGAAAAAGUACAUUUUACGUGGCAAAAUAAUCAUGAUACGCUCUAAGUUGCAAAAAUUCGUGGCUUAGCUUGGUGCUUCAACUAAAUUUGUUCUAGAAAAAUAACGUUAAAGAAAAUUGUAGAAAACUAUACUAAUAUUAUGCUGUUAAUUUUUGUUACGAAUAUAACUUAGUAUAGAUUCUUUUUCUAUAAUCUGAUUAAUUUUAAUUUGACGAAUAAGUAUAUGAAAAUGUUAACAAGUAAUCAAAGACAAUAAAAAUGUCUUGGUAUUUUUUUUUUUUUUUGGUGGCCGAGGUUUGAACCCGGACCUUGCAUAUAUUAUGCAUUGUUCUAAUCAACUGAGCUUAACUCACGAGGACUAUUAGUUGUUUCGUCAACCUUUCAAAUGUUUUAAAAAUUCUAUAUUCUUUUUAUUUUUAAUAUAAGGUCUUUGAAGAGUUUUAAAUUUUCUCUCUAUAUUUCUCCUCUCUAUUACUAGUUUUAAAAUGGAUCAAGUAAUCGUGCUCUAUGAUUAAUAAACCUCACUCAAAAAUAUAUUAUUUAUGAGAAUUUAAGUUUGAUUUCUGUGUCGAAUAAUUACUGGUCAGAUUUUAUAUACAUUCUCUAAAUUAUCGACACCCUUUACUCUUAAGAACCAAGGGUUAAGAUAAGAAAUUAAUUAAAGUGUAUGUUACAUAGUUAAACCCACCAAAUAUCAUAUUAUUACACUUAUAUUCUCAAAAUUUUGAUAAUAAAAUGGAAAGGAUAAAAAAUAGAAAGAUCCUUGACUCCCAUGCUUAGGACAAUUGUGAGGGUAACUCAUAAAUAUAUGUAAGUAAACGCCAAUUACAUUGUAAACGUAAUAUUGCAGUGUAUGUCACGUAAACUUUGAGCAUGGCCCAUCAAAUUAGACGAUCAAUAACUUUGGGAAAUGUUAGUACAUCAAACCUUACAUAUAAUAUAAUAUGACUAUUUCCUCACUAAGCUUCAAUAAUCAACACCCACAUAUUAGUAUACCUUUAUGGCCUACCAAAGCCAAAUCUCUUGACCUAUAUAUACCUCCAUUCCUUUGCACUUAAUUUCAUUCAUAAGCAAAUACAUUCCUAAAUAUCAAAUCCUCUCUUGUUAGUUCCUAUACACCUAACUCCCUCGUGUAAUAUUACAGAAAAAUAUUUUGAUACACCAUGCACACUAUUGCAUACAUGUAUAAACUCAUAUUCAACUCUUGCAUUGCAUACUUUCUUCUUUUCUCUCUCUUGUUUGUGCAUGGCAAAGAAUUGUCAUGCAAUCAAACUCCAUACCCUCAUGUGUGCAACCAUUAUAUUGGAACCACCACAAAUAAACUAUCAACCCUAGAUUCUUCUUCUUCCUUCCAUGAUAUUGUACUUAAGGUUACCUUGGACCAAGCCAUUGAAGCUCACAAACUUGUAUCAACCAUGGAAUUAAAUAAUUUCAAAGACAAGCAUGCCAAAUCAGCAUGGGAGGAUUGUUUAGAGCUUUAUGAGGAUACAAUAUAUCAACUCAAACGCUCAAUAAACUCAAACAACCUAAAUGAUAAAUUAACUUGGCAAAGUGCUUCCAUUACCAAUCAUCAAACUUGCCAAAAUGGUUUCAUUGAUUUCAACCUUCCAUCUCACUUAAAUUAUUUCCCAUCCAUGUUAAGCAACUUCACUAAAUUGCUUAGCAAUUCUUUGUCCAUUAGCAACACUCUAACUUCAUCACAAUCAUCCUCAUCCUCAUCAUCAAGUACUAAGCAAAACGGAGGGAGAAGGUUGUUAUCAGAUGGAUUUNUCCAUUAGCAACACUCUAACUUCAUCACAAUCAUCCUCAUCCUCAUCAUCAAGUACUAAGCAAAACGGAGGGAGAAGGUUGUUAUCAGAUGGAUUUCCAUAUUGGCUUUCAGGGUCAGAUAGAAAGCUUCUUCAGGCAACACCGGGUUCAGGGACAGGACCAAGAGCUGAUAUUGUGGUUGCACAAGAUGGAAGUGGGAACUAUAAGACAAUAUCUGACGGUGUGGCUGCAGCUGCUAAGCUUAGUGGGAAAGGGAGAGUGGUUAUUCAUCUGAAAGCAGGUGUUUAUAAAGAGAAUAUCGAUAUCAAAAGGACAAUGUCAAAUUUAAUGAUAUUUGGAGAUGGAAUGGAUUCUACUAUUGUUACUGGUAAUCAAAAUGCUAUAGAUGGUUCUACCACAUUUCGUUCAGCUACUUUCGGUAAGUUCUUCAAUAGUUAAUCACUCAUUUAUAUAGAUUAUUGUGUGAGAAUAUAUUAUGAUUUUUUGCUAUAUAUGCAUGGGAUAAAUCAUAUGUGGAAUAGUAACAAUGAUAAUAAUAUAAAAACACUUUGGAUUAACUGAACACCAUAAAUAUUCAUUUUGGCACCAUUAGGAUUAGGAUAGAGACAUAUAUGCACUACUUACUUUGUAUAAAUAGUGUUACGUACCGAUGAGUAGUGAUAUUUGAACAAUCAUUUUUGACAAUUAUCAUGAUAACUUCCUUUUCCUCUCUUUCUAUUGGUCAAAAAUAAUGGAAAGAGAAAAGGGAAGAGAGGGAAUAAAAACAUAAUGUAAGUAUGAAAAAGAGAGUUGUCAAAAAGGUUGUCAUAAAAUGAUUUUACAAAUAUCAUUUCUCUAUAAUAUAUUCUAUUGAGAAAAUUUUCAUUUUGUUAUCAAAGAUUAAUUAACAAAAAAGUACAAAGAUUUUAAAUAUAUUUAUCUUUUUUUUUUUUGUGGUGCCAGGUUCGAACUCCAGCAUAUAUUAUGUAUUGUCCUUACCAUAUAUACUCACGAGGACAAAUAUAUUUUAUCUCUCAAAACCUGAUAAUAUUUCCAAACUAAUCUCUUUUAUUUAAUUACUUUUCUACUUUCUCACAAAAGGCACUUUUUGUUAUUUUUUUUAUACUUGUUGAUUAAGACAUGUUCAAACGAAAAAUAAAAAUUUAAUUAAGAUAUGAUAAUACUCCUUCCGCUCUAUAUUUAAGCACAUUUUUAUUAGAGGCAAACGAUACUUACAUAUAGAAACGGAUGAAGUAUAAAUUAUAAAACUCUAAUAACUAACCAUCUAAUCACAACAAUAAAAUAUUAAUAUUACUCAACAUACACUUUUUACAUCAGUCUCACAAAAAACGGUAUCUAUGAUGUUUUUACUUUAUAUCGUGUGAAAAUAUUUUAUCGAUAUGAAACGAUAACUUUUCAAAGAAAAUACAAUGCAUUGUAAUGGUAAAUUUCUUUUACGGUAAAUUAGAGCCAAUCAUUUGUACGACUAGAUGAAUAUAAAUUGUUCUUGUGAACUUAGCCCAGUUGGUAUGUACAAUGCAUAAAAAUAUGCAAGGUCGGGGUUCAAACCACGACCAUAAAAAAAAAAAAAAAGUAUAUAAAUUAAAUCCAAAGUUCUAACAAUGAAAUAAAUAAUUACUGCAGCUGUUAUGGGAGAUGGUUUCAUAGCUAAGGACAUGACCUUUGAGAAUACAGCAGGACCCCAAAAACACCAAGCAGUGGCUCUCCGUUCCGGUGCCGAUCACUCUGUUUUCUACCGUUGCGCCUUCAAAGGCUUCCAAGACACUUUAUAUGUUUACGCCAACCGUCAAUUCUACCGUGACUGCAACAUCUAUGGAACAAUCGAUUUCAUCUUCGGUAACGCCGUUACUGUCCUUCAAAACUGCAACAUCUUUGUCAGAAAACCAAUGAGCAACCAACAGAACACCGUAACAGCACAAGGAAGAACAGAUCCAAAUGAAAACACUGGAAUUGUAAUACAUAACUGCCGUAUAACCGCAUCAAGUGAUUUGAAAGCGAUUCAGAAUUCAGUUAAAACAUAUCUUGGUAGACCAUGGCAGAAAUAUUCAAGAACGGUUGUUAUGAAAAGUAAUCUUGAUGGUUUGAUAAAUUCAGAAGGUUGGGCUCCAUGGAUGGGUGGUUUUGCUUUGAGUACACUUUAUUAUGGCGAAUAUAUGAAUGUUGGUGGUGGUGCUAAUACUGAUGGAAGAGUUAAAUGGCCUGGUUUUCAUGUUAUUACUAAUCCUUCUGAUGCAGUUAAAUUUUCUGUUGGUAAUUUUUUGGCUGGUGAUUCUUGGAUUUCUGGUAGUGGUGUGCCGUUUGAUGCAGGUUUGUGAAUAUUGAUUGAAUCAUUCAAAGAAAGUGAGAUGAUGUAUAGUGGAGAAGACUUGAAAUGAUGACUUUGGUGAAAGCAUGAUGGUGAUAAUUGAAAUCUAUAAAGAUAGAGAAAUUAUUGUCAUUUAGUUUUUGUUGGGUUUUUCCUUGUACAAAGGUUACAUAUAAGAUACUGUACUUUAGGGAAAUUAUUGCACAAACGUCAACCGUAGAUAAAUAGAUAGAUAAAAAUAAGUCACCAUUAUACCCAUGGAAAGAAAAUGUACCAAAACAAAAGGUUGUAAAGAAAAAAAUAAGUGUUGUAAAUAAAUAGAUGCUGUACUUUCAAUAAAGUUGUAAAGAAAAUGUACCAAAACAAAAGGUUGUAAAGAAAAAAAUAGGGCGACAAUUAGAGUAUCCAUGGAAGAAUGGUGGGUAAUUUACCCCAACCAAUACACAUUAGUCACAUAAGCACAUUUUUAAGUGGUAUCCAUGAACUAUCUUGAUCCCACCAACAAAUUGCUCAUUUUUAUUGGUUGGUGAGUAAAUUAUUCAUCAUUCUUCAAAGGUAAUCUAGAAAAAAACAAAAAAUAGUGGUAAUUAGUUUCUUCCUCCUUUAUUACAGAACUUAACUGUAUAUAUGUACGUAUACAUAUAUGUAUAAAAGUCUUUCUGUUUCCACUUGCAUAUAUAUUGGAUGUUUUUUAUAUUGCACUGUAGGUCCCACUAUUUUUUUAUUUUUUUAAAUAUCUUAAAUAUGUCCAUGCUUAUAUUAUCCUUCUCUCCUCUUUUUUUAUGUUAAUCUAUACAUUAAAUUAAUUAUCUUCUUAAGCAAAGAAAAACAAGAGCAUAAUUUUUUUUCUUCAAGUAGUCAAGUAACUAGAGCUCACACAAUUAAAUAUGGAGAAGUGGGGUGUCCGAAGUUCGAACCCUUACCCUACAUAUAACAUGCAAUAUCUCUACCAACUGAGCUAAACUCAUGGAGAUCAAAGCAUAAUUUUUAUUACAAGAAAGAAAUAAUGAAUUGAAAUGGACCCGCUUAAUUAUGAUUUCCAUAAUUAUUUUUUACUAUUAUGAACAAAACAUGUUUAGAUUUAUCUAAUUUUUCUGUUUGAAGGAAGACAUGCGUUAAUUUAAAGUUGCAUGGAAUAAUGAAUGGUCAUAUUGAUAUAAACACCUGAUCACAUGUAAGAUUAAAGGAUAUGUUAACGUAGAAUGAAAUAAAAAUGUCAUUUCGUAAUCUAGUACUUGACAGUUAAUUAAAAUGAUUGCCCUAAAAAAGGUUAAUUAACAUGAUUAUUGAUUAAUUAAUAAGGACUGGUGAGAAAGCUACCUUACAUGGUCGUUUAAUUAGCUAUAUUAGUACAUAUAAACACAAUUAGACAAUGGUCCUUUUGUUGAUUUUUUUUUUUUUUUGAAAGAAGUCCUAUUGUUGAUGUUAAUAUUCUAAUUGUAAUUUGUGAUAGAUACAUUAACCAAUAAACAGAAGUCAGAAGACUCUAAUUGAUUUGGAUUAAUUUGAUGUGAAAGCACAGCUCAUGCUAAUUAAGUCAGAUGUCAUUUUCUUUAUGGAUUGCUUUUUCUAUUUCUGGUCACUGUUUAUCAGCCGCCUGCAGCAAGUUGUAACUAGCAUGCAUCUCGUUUUCUAAUAAUUAUGUUUAAUUAGUACGAUAAUUAAUCAUGGUUAUUGAAAAGCAAAGGAAAAUGAAGGCAAUUAAUAAAGCGUAAUUUGAACUUGAAAGCUUGGUUAACAAACUGACCCACCUAUCAUUUCAAUAGAAUUUCUUAUUUAUUUCGAUAUAUUCUUUUUUUUUUUUUUUUAAGAAGAAGAAGAAUAUAUUUUUCUUUUCUAGAAGCGGUGUCUAAAUUUUUUUAGGGUUAAUUAAGAUUUUGGUCCCUAUAAAUAUCUACAAUUUUGUUUUUAGUCCCUAUAAAAAUAAAUCAUACUUUUUAGUCCCUAUAAAAUUUUCUGCUAGUGUUUUUAGUCCCUGUUAAAUUAAAAUUUGUUUAAUUAUGCUUAAACUUCUAAAUUGUUGAAAGAUUUUUUACAUACAUGCUCAUAACAUCGUAAGACACUCUUUUGUAAAAAUUUUUAGUUUUUUUAACAUGUAAUGAAUUAAAUAUGAAUUUUUCUAAAAGUCAAAUUUUCAAGAUUAUAUUAAUGAAAAUUUGGACCUAAUAAUAAAAUUUUAAGUUACUUUUUUGCGGAGGAACUUUGUAUAAUAUUCUAAGUAAGUAUGUGAAAAAUAUGUUACAAAUUUAAAAGUUUAAGCACAAUUAAGCAAAUUUUAAUUUUACAAGGACUAAAAGUACUUGUCAAAAAAAAAAACAAGGACUAAAAGUAUGUGUUGGUCUCUGUUAAAUUGAAAUUUGUUUAAUUAUACUUAAACUUUUAUAUUUUUAACAGACAUGCUAAGAACAUUAUAAUAAUCUCUUUUAUAAAAAAAUUAGAAUUUUUUAACAUGUAAUGAAUUAAAUAUAAUUUUUUUAAAACGCCAAAAAUUCAAGAUAAAACUAACAAAAAUUUGCACCUAAAAAUAAAAUUUUGAGCUAAUUUAUUGUGGCGGAACCUUUUAUAAUGUUUUAAACAAGUAUGUAAAAAAUCAUUAAAAAUUUAAAAUUUUAAGCAUAAUUAAACAAAUUUUAAUUUAACAGGGACAAAAAACACUAACGGAAAAUUUUAUAGGGACUAAAAAGUGUGAUUUAUUUUUAUAAGGACUAAAAAAAAAACUGCAGAUAUUUAUAGGGACUAAAAACUUAAUUAACCCAUUUUUUUAUACAUAUAAUCAUACAACCAAAUUACCUCAUGACAUCACUUACUUUUUAAGUUGUUAAUCUCUUAAAAGAGAAAUGAUAUUUGAACAACUACUUUUCGAUAACUUUGUGACAAUUUUCUCUCUCAUACACACAUUGUUCUUCUACUUUCUCUCUCUAUUGCUUUGAUUUUUGUGUCACUACCUAAAUUUCUUUGUAUAAUGUGGUUGUCCAAAAAGUUGUCACAUGAAAAGGUUGUUCAAAUAACAUUGCUCCUCUUAAAACAUCUCAAAAUAGAGAAAUUACACUAUGGACACAAGCAUAAAUGAAUAUUGUAUUGAUACACACACAUCAAAGUCUUUUUUUUAAUAAUAAAAAUGAAAUUGAUAAUAUAAUGAUUUAGUAUUUUGAGAAAAAUUAUUUUUAUGUGUGUGUAACCAAACCCUAUUCAUUUAUAUUUGUGAUUAUGGAAGAAUGUCUCUUCAAAACAUCUCAAAUAUAACACAAAUUAAAUUAAUCUUUUAUAAUUAGGGUUUGUCUAACAUGUGCAAUGUUAAAACAACGAAAAGUAUUAAUUUUUUAUUGAAAACAACAAUUAUUUAUUAAAAAACUACAAAUUUAAUAUAAAAUGCACAAGUUCUAAAUCAAAGUUACUACUUUAAAUUUCUUAACAUAUGCAAAUUUACACAUGAUAGAAAACUCCUUAUAACUAUCUCACAUCUAUUUUUUAGUUUUAGGAUAUCACAUUGCUCUUGCUAAUGAUUGUAAGGUGUAUAGUGCUUAUAGGUAAACAUGGAUGAUUAGGGCUUGCUCAGACUUGGUUAUAUACAGGGGGUACGAAAGUUAAAUAUUUUCAUACACUGUAGGUAAGUUUUACGAUGUGUAUCUGAAUCAAACGCAAAUUUAAGUCAUCGAAACAUCCAUAUUUUCGGAUCUGCAACGUUGACAUUCAAAUUGAUUGAAUUUGUAUUUGAUUGAUGUCGAUCUUUCAACAGGAACUAAACGAACACCACGACGCAAAAUCAAACGUCAGACAAGACGAAGAAUAACACAACACUGCAUUUAGAUAACGAAAUCACAAAUAACACAAAAGGAAAAACUUGAUAGAUGUGAAAACCACUAAUUUAGAUCGAAAGAGAUAGAAAAAAGAUGUAGAGGGUGAUUCUAGGUCAAAAAAAUGACCCAAAACCACGCAUUUUUGAUGAAUGAAGGAAAAAAAAAAAAGUUCAAAGAGAAGUUUGAGUUUCUCUCACUAGAAAAUUAGUGUCGGCUAUAUGGAAUCACAUAGAUCGGUCCAUAUAUACCAGAAAGGUUCAUUCGCAAGAUGCACACAAACUCAAGUGCUAAUUGUUCAGCGUCAAAAGCAGCAAUAUAUAAUCAAGUGAGAAAAGAAAAUCUUUUAUCCAUGUAUAAUACGUACAUAUACAAUUAUGUAAUCAAAGAAACUAACGUGGCCCCUAGACCAAAAAAAAAAAGAAAACACUAGUUGACCCUUUGAUUAAAAAAAAAAUAAUGGACAGACAAAGUACAACAUCUUGUGUAACCUUUGUAUAUGGCAAACACCCAACAAAUACUACAUGACAAUAAUUUCCCCAUCUUCAAUUGUCACCACCACUAUGCUUUCACCAUCCUCUUUUUUUAUACAAAACAGCCAAAGUCAUCAUCAUUUCAAGUCUUCCCACUCAAUGAUCAAUCACUUUUAUUUCUUUCACUAUACUUUGAUCAAUUCAACUCUGAAAUGAAUCAAUAUUCACAAACCUGCAUCAAACGGCACACCACUACCAGAAAUCCAAGAAUCACCAGCCAAAAAAUUACCAACAGAAAAUUUAACUGCAUCAGAAGGAUUAGUAAUAACAUGAAAACCAGGCCAUUUAACUCUUCCAUCAGUAUUAGCACCACCACCAACAUUCAUAUAUUCGCCAUAAUAAAGUGUACUCAAAGCAAAACCACCCAUCCAUGGAGCCCAACCUUCUGAAUUUAUCAAACCAUCAAGAUUACUUUUCAUAACAACCGUUCUUGAAUAUUUCUGCCAUGGUCUACCAAGAUAUGUUUUAACUGAAUUCUGAAUCGCUUUCAAAUCACUUGAUGCGGUUAUACGGCAGUUAUGUAUUACAAUUCCAGUGUUUUCAUUUGGAUCUGUUCUUCCUUGUGCUGUUACGGUGUUCUUUUGGUUGCUCAUUGGUUUUCUGACAAAGAUGUUGCAGUUUUGAAGGACAGUAACGGCGUUACCGAAGAUGAAAUCGAUUGUUCCAUAGAUGUUGCAGUCACGGUAGAAUUGACGGUUGGCGUAAACAUAUAAAGUGUCUUGGAAGCCUUUGAAGGCGCAACGGUAGAAAACAGAGUGAUCGGCACCGGAACGGAGAGCCACUGCUUGGUGUUUUUGGGGUCCUGCUGUAUUCUCAAAGGUCAUGUCCUUAGCUAUGAAACCAUCUCCCAUAACACCUGCAGUAAUUAUUUAUUUCAUAGUUAGAACUUUAAAUUUAAUUCAUAUAUUAUGUAAGGAAUUUUUACACUAUACUUCGAUCAUAAUUGUCUGAUCAUUUAAAUUUAUUAAAGGCAUACAAAUGAUUAAUUGUGAACGAUAAUAUACUCACAUGUGAAGUAAAACAAUGAACAAUUGAAAAUUUUUUACAUUGACCGGUGCAUGGAGAUUAAACUCCAGAACUUUUAGUGAAUAUUGCUAGAAAGGUUUUAUUAAUAUAUUUUAUUUAAUUAUCUCAGUUUAAGUGGGUUAAUUUUUCUUCAAGAAAAAAAUAUUUGACGAACAAAAAACAAAUUUAACGUCAAUACAUAGAAAUGAGAUAUUUUCACUUUGAAUAUACAGAAAAAAAUAUCCCAAUCACAAUGUUUUCCAAGAGUCCGAUCGAUGUAAAAAAGUGUGAGUUGAAUAAUACUAAUAAAUAAUAAUAUAUAAUUGUUGGUCAUAUGGUUUAGACUUUAGAGUUUUAUAAUUGUUAUGAUGUGUUCGGUGAAUUUUUUUUUUUUUGUUUCAACAUGUUUUAUUAAAAAAAUAUUAAAAUAUCUGAACAAAAAGUAGCUUUUGUGAGAAAGUAGAAAAGUAACUAAAAACAAACUAUGUUGUUAAAACAAAUUAUGUUGUAAAAAAAAAAAAAAAAAAAAAAACAAGAGAUUGCUGAGUUUGAAAAUAUUAUCUGUUUUCAAAGAUAAAAGAUAUUUAAGAAAUUUGUACUUUAUUGUUAAUCUUUUGAUAGUCAUAUGACAAAUAGCUUCAUAUAUUAUAUAAUGUUUGAUCCGUAACACUAGGUUGUCCCUCAAAAAAAAAAAAAAAAAAGUGUUGCUUGUCUCUAUCUUAAUGGGGCCAAAGUGAUAUAUUUUCUAGUGUUCACUUAAUUCAAAGUGUUUUAAUAUUACUACUAUUACUGUUAUUGUUACGUACUAUUCCAUUGAUCAUAUGAUUUCUCCCAUGCAUAUAGAAUAUAGAUAUAUCAUAUAUGAAUAGAUGAGUGAUUAAGGAUUGAUUAACUUACCAAAAGUAGCUGAACGAAAAGUAGUAGAACCAUCUAUAGCAUUAUGAUUGCCAGUAACAAUAGUAGAAUCCAUUCCAUCUCCGAAUAUCAUUAAAUUCUUCACUGUCUUCUUGAUAUCAACAUUCUCUUUAUAAAUACCUGCUUUCAGAUGAAUAACCACUCUCCCUUUUCCACUAAGCUUAGCAGCUGCAGCCACACCCUCAGAUAUUGUCUUAUAGUUCCCACUUCCAUCUUGUGCAACCACAAUAUCAGCUCUUGGUCCUAUCCCUGACCCCGGUGUUGCCUGAAGAAGCUUUCUAUCUGACCCUGAAAGCCAAUAUGGAAAUCCAUCUGAUAACAACCUUCUCCCUCCGUUUUGCUUAGUACUUGAUGAUGAGGAUGAGGAUGAUUGUGAUGAAGUUAGAGUGUUGCUAAUGGACAAAGAAUUGCUAAGCAAUUUAGUGAAGUUGCUUAACAUGGAUGGGAAAUAAUUUAAGUGAGAUGGAAGGUUGAAAUCAAUGAAACCAUUUUGGCAAGUUUGAUGAUUGGUAAUGGAAGCACUUUGCCAAGUUAAUUUAUCAUUUAGGUUGUUUGAGUUUAUUGAGCGUUUGAGUUGAUAUAUUGUAUCCUCAUAAAGCUCUAAACAAUCCUCCCAUGCUGAUUUGGCAUGCUUGUCUUUGAAAUUAUUUAAUUCCAUGGUUGAUACAAGUUUGUGUGCUUC